UAUUGUCAUGUUAUCUGUGUGCCGUUUUUUGACCUUUUUAUGGACAUUUGUAAUAAUAUCAUCCAUUGUCUAAACCUUGAUAUGGUUUUUGAACGCAGUCGGCGCACCACGUAUGCCCAUCUUAAAUUUGGACGCAUUCAAAUUUUGUCGCAAACUCCUACGGUGCGGGUAUCACAAGCGAUCGCCGCAACGCACGCAUCGCAUUUAGUUAGGACAUACCGUUAUAGAGGUUCGCUACUAUUUGAAAUCGGUGUUGAAUAAAAAGUUUGGAAUUAGGAUUGGAAAAGACGAAAUGGAACCAGAGGAAUUAUUAGAUCACAACAAUAAAAGACCUAUAAGUUGAUCCAUAAUAGUGAGCGAGUGGACUAAAAGUCUAUUAAGGCUUAAUGUGAAUUAAAAAUGGGUCUCGAGAAACCAACAAGAGAAACUCUAUGAAAAAAAGGUUAAAACCAAAUAUCCCCUGACUGAUGAAUAGAAGGAAUAGUAAAAAAUCUAGAGAAAAAGUCAGUGAAGUCUGAUGAAAAUAGCUUAAAAAUAAGUAUAAUAGUCCAAAGAGAAUAUUAGGAAUCUUUUUUUGGACUAUUAGAAAAUGUAGCAAGGAAUAAGCAAAUAGCGAGAAUUUUGAAUUCCAAAUAUGUUAUGGAGCAUACUUUUUGUACGAUUCUCAAUUUACAUUUAUUUCAAGUUUCGUUUGGUUAAAUAAUUUACCGCUUCGGCUCUAGAUACCUUAAUUAAGUUUUUAAGCAUCACUGCUAAAUGACAGCAUGGUAUAAAAGUGAAAAUAAUACUCAUUUGCUUAUAUGGUUUUUAUUC
This 813-nucleotide long non-coding RNA is filed under the name Anthonomus grandis grandis. RNAcentral's name for it is "uncharacterized LOC126741305". The record is from RNAcentral. Lineage: Eukaryota; Metazoa; Arthropoda; Insecta; Coleoptera; Curculionidae.